This 301-nucleotide ribosomal RNA is filed under the name uncultured bacterium. Its description in RNAcentral is "partial 16S ribosomal RNA". It matches the Rfam family "Bacterial small subunit ribosomal RNA", at positions 509 to 807 of the family's 1533-position model. The record is from RNAcentral.
CAGUCGCCGCGGGAAUACGUAGGGUGCGAGCGUUAAUCGGAAUUACUGGGCGUAAAGCGUGCGCAGGCGGUUGCGUAAGACAGGUGUAAAAUCCCCGGGCUUAACCUGGGAACUGCGCUUGUGACUGCACAGCUAGAGUAUGGCAGAGGGGGGUGGAAUUCCACGUGUAGCAGUGAAAUGCGUAGAGAUGUGGAGGAACACCGAUGGCGAAGGCAGCCCCCUGGGCCAAUACUGACGCUCAUGCACGAAAGCGUGGGGAGCAAACAGGAUUAGAUACCCCGGUAGUCCCUGUCUCUUAUAC